AACGCGAAGAACCUUACCAGCCCUUGACAUGUCUCGUAUGGUUACCGGAGAUGGUUUCCUUCAGUUCGGCUGGCGAGAACACAGGUGCUGCAUGGCUGUCGUCAGCUCGUGUCGUGAGAUGUUGGGUUAAGUCCCGCAACGAGCGCAACCCUCGCCCUUAGUUGCCAUCAUUUAGUUGGGCACUCUAGGGGGACUACCGGUGAUAAGCCGAGAGGAAGGUGGGGAUGACGUCAAGUCCUCAUGGCCCUUACGGGCUGGGCUACACACGUGCUACAAUGGCGGUGACAGUGGGAUGCGGAGGGGCAACCCCGAGCAAAUCUCCAAAAGCCGUCUCAGUUCAGAUUGCACUCUGCAACUCGAGUGCAUGAAGGCGGAAUCGCUAGUAAUCGUAGAUCAGAACGCUACGGUGAAUACGUUCCCGGGCCUUGUA
RNAcentral lists this ribosomal RNA (430 nucleotides) under uncultured Alphaproteobacteria bacterium. RNAcentral's name for it is "bacterial SSU rRNA". It matches the Rfam family "Bacterial small subunit ribosomal RNA", at positions 958 to 1385 of the family's 1533-position model. Lineage: Bacteria; Pseudomonadati; Pseudomonadota; Alphaproteobacteria. The record is from RNAcentral.